Molecule: ribosomal RNA, 495 nt
Filed under: uncultured bacterium
Lineage: Bacteria
Description: partial 16S ribosomal RNA
Rfam family: Bacterial small subunit ribosomal RNA
Source: RNAcentral
GACGAACGCUGGCGGCGUGCCUAAUACAUGCAAGUAGAACGCUGAAGGAGGAGCUUUCUCUUCUGGUUGAGUUGCGAACGGGUGAGUAACGCGUAGGUAACCUGCCUGUUAGCGGGGGAUAACUAUUGGAAACGAUAGCUAAUACCGCAUAAGAGUAGAUGUUGCAUGACAUUUGCUUAAAAGGUUCAAUUGCAUCACUACCAGAUGGACCUGCGGUGUAUUAGCUAGUUGGUGGGGUAACGGAUCACCAAGGCGAGGAUACAUAGCCGAACUGAGAGGGGGAGCGGCCACACUGGGACUGAGACACGGCACAGAGUCAUACGGGAGGCAGCAGUAGGGAAUCUUCGGCAAUGGGCGGAAGUCUGACCGAGAAACGCCGCGUGAGUGAGGAAGGUUUUCGCAUCGGAAAGCUCUGUUGUAAGAGAAGAACGAGUGUGAGAGUGGAAAGUUCACACUGUGACGGUAUCUUACAAGAAAGGGACGGCUAACUACGUG